AAGUUAAGCAUCAUUGGGCGCGGUCAGUACUUGGGUGAGUGACCACCUGGGAACACUGCGUGCCGUUU
Caerostris darwini is the source of this 68-nucleotide non-coding RNA. NCBI's taxonomy places the organism in Eukaryota, Metazoa, Arthropoda, Arachnida, Araneae, Araneidae. The record is from the annotation of a GenBank genome assembly.